RNAcentral lists this ribosomal RNA (379 nucleotides) under uncultured bacterium. RNAcentral's name for it is "bacterial SSU rRNA". It matches the Rfam family "Bacterial small subunit ribosomal RNA", at positions 28 to 404 of the family's 1533-position model. The record is from RNAcentral.
GACGAACGCUGGCGGCGCGCCUCAUACAUGCAAGUCGAACGUGAAGCCCGGAGCUUGCUCCGGGUGGAAAGUGGCGAACGGGUGAGGAACACGUGAGGAACCUGCCCCGAAGACCGGGAUAACACCGGGAAACCGGUGCUAAUACCGGAUGCCCUCAUCGGAUCUCAUGAUCCGAUGAGGAAAUGAAUUCCGCUUCGGGAUGGCCUCGCGGCCUAUCAGCUUGUUGGUGGGGUAACGGCCCACCAAGGCUUCGACGGGUAGCUGGUCUGAGAGGAUGUCCAGCCACACUGGGACUGAGACACGGCCCAGACUCCUACGGGAGGCAGCAGUAGGGAAUCUUGCGCAAUGAGCGAAAGCUUGACGCAGCGACGCCGCGUGC